GAAAUCAGCAAGGGGGGAAGCCAUAGUUAGGGUUUUCAAGCUUCCAAGCUCCAUAAUCAAGAAGUACGAAACUCGAGGUUAGACAAAGGGAAGAAUAAAGUUGAAGACUAAGUUGGUGAAUUUGGCUAUAAUUGGUACCGAGUAUUGCAAAGCUACUUCAAGGAUCCUAAAGAAGUCGGAGAUCGUCCACACUAUCAACUACAACUGCUCGGUAUUUUAUAUCGAAACACGUUUGAGUUAUGGCAUGUAUAGGGAUUUAGUUAUUUUGUAUGUUUGUAAUGAUGAUUUUGCUAAUGAGUGAUGUGUAAGUAUUUGAUGAUGUAUGGUCAUUAAAAUGGUUAAGGAUGAAGGUGUUUGUUGUUAUGAAA
Molecule: long non-coding RNA, 368 nt
Organism: Gossypium raimondii (Peruvian cotton)
Lineage: Eukaryota; Viridiplantae; Streptophyta; Magnoliopsida; Malvales; Malvaceae
Exons: 3
Source: RefSeq, a predicted model, not a curated record